AUGUCUGUUUCCUCAGCUUGUUAUGGAGGAAUUAGGAGUUCCUGGCUUGCUGCUCGAUCAGUCCCUCAGCACAGCUCCCACUUUCUUUAUCACACAGUGGCUCCACCCAGCCCUCCUGACCCAGACGAGCCAGUGCUGCUCAUGGUGUGUGUAACCCUUGCUGUGGUUUUGGUGGUGGUUUUUCUGGGGAUCUACUAUGGCUUCCAACGCCACAGGUAGUAUAAACCCUAGAGGGUGUCUCACGCACAGGACAGUCAAUGGACCUAUUCAAAUACCCUUCAAAUGUAUUCGUACUUCUUUCCAUGAGGAAAUCACUGAUCUGACACAUUGAUUGAAGCAAUGGGGAACGCAUGUUUUCACGUAUCCACUCUUGUACUGAUCAGUGAUUACCACAGGGAAGGGAGGAAAGAAAGAAUCCGUUUUAGAGGUAUUCACUCACUGCACAGAUAUAACCUACAUGGUUGUAAGUCUCCUCUUCGUUUCCAUCAGUGCUAAGAAAAACACCACUGACACCACCAGAAGAAAUGGGUCCAUUUAAUGAUUUUAUUUUUUUACCUUUAUUUAACUAGGCAAGUCAGUUAAGAACAAAUUCUUAUUUUCAAUGACGGCCUAGGAACAGUGGGUUAACUCCCUGUUCAGGGGCAGAACGACAGAUUUGUACCUGGUCAGCUCAGGGAUUUGAACUUGCAACCUUUCGGUUACUAGUCCAAUGCUCCACGAGGAUGAGUCCCGAAGUAAGACUUAAAUCCUUCUCAUUUUGGACACCUAUCUAUUAUUUUCUAUUUCAAUUCCAUUUUUAACGCAUGUCUCCCUUUGCAGGGACUGGCUGGAACAUCGGCGUGUUUGUCUGCACAGGAUGUGCAUCUGCAUGCAAAUGUAUUGGCUGAAGCCCAGUAGCAACAUAGGUUGUAUUCCAAAUGGCAUCAUAUUCCCUAUUUUGUGAGAGAAAUUUGAACAGAGCCCUAUGGGUCCUGGUCAAAAUGAGUGUACUAAAAAGGGAAUAGGGUGUCAUUUGGAACACAAUCAUAAUUUCAACAACGUCUGGAGUUGAGUAUCACAUCAGUCUGUCUGCAAUAAACAUUUUGAGCAGCAAAAUCAGACAGGAGGUUGUAUGUAUUGUAACUCCACUAGGGGGAGCCAAACGUGCAAGAGAGACUUCAGGAAUUAGAACCAUUUCCUUUGCCUCUAAGGUCUUUUCCAUUAGAUAGGAUUUUACAACACUGCUUGUUCAAUACCACAAAAUUAAAACAAUAGACUUGAGCCAUAGGCAAGGAAAACUGUCUGCAAUUCAAUAAAUAUACUGAACACAGAUAAGAUAAAACGGUGGUGAAUAGCAACAAGGAAAUCCACAGUCAUGUUUAGCUCGUCUAAAAAAUGAUCACAGUCAGAUAUUGAUUUAAAGCACAACAGAGAAGACAGAAACCCCAGAGAGAGCAUGCAAGGCCUAUUCGCUCGCUACAGAAAACGUCAACAUCCUACAACUGCCACUUGCUCUUGCGUUGAUGCACAGAGGGUUAUUUUUACAAGGCCAGACAUACUGUAGCAGAAGAGCAUCCACUGGAAUACGAACAUGAAUGGGUCAACAAAUCAAAUAUAAAUCAGAUCAACAAACAAAAAAUAGUCUUGUGUUGUCAAUCGUGGCUUUCCUGCUGUAUUUCUGUUUCUUUGUAUUUGUAUUUUUUUUAUUUAAAAAAUAAAAAUUGAGAACCAUUUGUGACCAUGCUGUACCACCAGCAUAGAAAUAGAGUUCUGGUGGAGUUUUCUUUGUUCUGGUCAUCAGGUCUUAUCUUAAAGUGGCCAUCAGCAAUCGAAACAAUAAUAAAGUGUUCUCCCCACCCCUGUUCCGGCAAAAAGCCGAGGGACGGGGCUGGAGAAAUGUAACCACUCUCAUGUUCAGAGACAGAGCAAUGGAUGCAGGACUGAUCAUCCACGACGUACAAUGAUAGUUAUAACCAUGUUUGGAUGCUAUAUAGUGUUUGUUUACAUUUACUUUGUUUGCAAACAUUGGAGUGAAACAGACUUAUAUCUGUUGGCUCUGAUGGUACGAGAGUUGAACUAAGCUCACAAGGUAUUUAUGUUCUUCAACCAUCAAUGGGUACUUACAGUAUCAUUAACUUAUACAUCCAAAAAUGGAUGAAGCAACUGCAGGUUGCCCCUUUAAAGGAAAUAGAUGUAUAUGUGUUCUAUUUAUGUAUUACCGUUGUGCAUUUAUUUAU
This is a long non-coding RNA of Oncorhynchus mykiss (rainbow trout), 2216 nucleotides long. NCBI's taxonomy places the organism in Eukaryota, Metazoa, Chordata, Actinopteri, Salmoniformes, Salmonidae. The record is from Ensembl.